This is a long non-coding RNA of Sebastes umbrosus (honeycomb rockfish), 691 nucleotides long. RefSeq lists it as uncharacterized. Lineage: Eukaryota; Metazoa; Chordata; Actinopteri; Perciformes; Sebastidae. The record is from RefSeq and is a predicted model, not a curated record. The transcript is spliced from 2 exons.
GCUUCUGGCAGGACUGCUGGAGAGACACACACACACACACACACACACAUACACACACACAAACAGACACACACACACACACACACACACACACAGCCUAUUAGCAGAGAAGGAGUUCUGGGAUUUUUAAAGAAAUAUGAAACAAAAACCUUCAGGGCUAUUGAAUUCCACUCGGGAUACUUGAAGCAGUCUCUUUUUAUUUUGUUUUUCUCGACACUUGCAGGAAGUGUCGCUUCUCUUAUCGCUUUCUUUCAACGUGACCAAUAACGGGUUGGUAUUAAGAAGGGGUUGGCUGCUGAACUAGUAGGAGAACAACAGUCAGAGAUUAUUUAGAGAAUUUUCAGAGAGCUACUUGUUGCUUUACGUGACAUCAAGUCCUCAAAGAUUUGUCAGUUCGAUCGACAGAAAACAGAAAAAAAUAGAUUCAUUAUUUAAGUGACUUAUCAAGCAAAAAAAGUUUUCAUUGAGGUUUAUAUCAUUAUAAAUUUGGGUUUUGGACUGUUUAGAGGACAAAAGAAACUUGAAGAUGUCAUCUUGGACUUUUAGAUUUCUCUUACCUUUUUUGGAUAUUUUCCAAUUUAGGUAUUUUGUUUCUUUAAUACUUUCUGUUAUUUUUACAAUUUGGCACAGCAGUCAACAGUUAUUUUGGGCUUAGAAAAAAAUAAAUAAAUACAUACAUAUCCCUGUCUAU